GAUGAACGCUGGCGGCGUGCCUAAUACAUGCAAGUCGAGCGAACGGACGAGAAGCUUGCUUCUCUGAUGUUAGCGGCGGACGGGUGAGUAACACGUGGAUAACCUACCAAUAAGACUGGGAUAACUUCGGGAAACCGUAGCUAAUACCGGAUAAUAUUUUGAACCGCAUGGUUCAAAAGUGAAAGACGGUCUUGCUGUCACUUAUAGAUGGAUCCGCGCUGCAUUAGCUAGUUGGUAAGGUAACGGCGUACCAAGGCAACGAUGCAUAGCCGACCUGAGAGGGUGAUCGGCCACACUGGAACUGAGACACGGUCCAGACUCCUACGGGAGGCAGCAGUAGGGAAUCUUCCGCAAUGGGCGAAAGCCUGACGGAGCAACGCCGCGUGAGUGAUGAAGGUCUUCGGAUCGUAAAACUCUGUUAUUAGGGAAGAACAUAUGUGUAAGUAACUGUGCACAUCUUGACGGUACCUAAUCAGAAAGCCACGGCUAACUACGUG
Molecule: ribosomal RNA, 497 nt
Filed under: uncultured bacterium
Lineage: Bacteria
Description: partial 16S ribosomal RNA
Rfam family: Bacterial small subunit ribosomal RNA
Source: RNAcentral